RNAcentral lists this long non-coding RNA (1864 nucleotides) under Setaria italica (foxtail millet). RNAcentral's name for it is "long non-coding RNA (SITA_LNC006674)". Lineage: Eukaryota; Viridiplantae; Streptophyta; Magnoliopsida; Poales; Poaceae. The record is from RNAcentral.
UUUUAUUCUACCGCACGUCCACACGACCACGCCGGUUCUCUCUCUGUUGUCUCUGUCGUUUCAUCUUCCCUUUUCUCUCUCUACUUCCUCUCGGAGAAAGAACCUGGAUCCGGCGGUGGCAGCGAAAGACGAUCGACGGAUCCCUUCGGACCGAUCAAGUCCGGCGCCGGCGCACGGGGGGGAUUCUCGGCGGUGGCCGGAUCCGUAAAGAUGAGCUUCUGCAAUUUGCCCGGCACUCCUUCGACUUCCCCGGCGCCACCAUGGAAUUAGCAGGUCAAGGUGAGCAUAGCCUUCUUUGAACUCCAGAGCGGCCAGUAGCCUGCCUCCGUAGAAAGACGGGGAUGCAUAUCCGUGCUCCUCCCCGCCGGAUCCUGACAGCUAGGCCCGUACCUACAAGUUGGAGGCCCUAUAAUGAAACCCGUAGGGAGGCUCUAAAUAUUGAAAAUGUGGCAAAACUAAAGAAUUGUUUCACUUUAAGUAUAAAAACACUAUAAAUGUUAUUUCUUAAGAUACUUAGGAACAUAUCAAAUAUUAAUGCAAAAAAGUAAAGAUAGUACUCAAGCAACUAAUUAACUGACCUCAUGUUCUACUGAAAAGCAUCAUUCUUUUGGUAUUCGUGAAGUGAAAUCCUCAAUUAUAUCUUCAUACUUAAUUUUCUCUAAGAUAUCAUUUUCAAGUGCAAUUAUGGCCAAUGCAAUGAGUCUUUCUUGUGUGAUGGUAGCUCGUAAGUAGGAUUUCAGCAAUUUGAGUUUAGGCAAACUCCUUUCAGCAGAUGCAACCGUGUGAUGGUGUGCAACGAAAAAACUCAAACCAGCAAAAUCAAUCAACUAACAAACCAGCAAAAUCAAUCAACUAGUGUCAGGGGCCUCAAGGGCAUUAUUCAUGCGUGUGUAUUGGCUAUUAGGCUUUCAAGUUGCUGGGCUUUCAUACGUGCAUGUGCAGUCUUUUUUAUAUUUGAUUAAGCUUUGUCAGUUAGUACUAAUUAGAGAUUUGGAGGCCCUGAACCGUCGCCCAUGUUGCACCUGCUAGUGUACGGGCCUGCUGACAGCGACAGGGUCCGAAAGGCGACGGCGCUCGUGAAGACCGGCGGCGGCGGGUUUGUGACAGCGCUUGUUGGAUCCACGCCCUUCCCCAACAUUCCGCGACAUGGUGAUUGGUGAAUCCAUGGCAGGUGUGGUAUGCAAACGAUGCAUCCGCAUCCUUCCCCACAGUUGCCUUCCAGUGACUGCGGGUGCGAGGGUCCUCGACAUCUGCCAGGACUUGGUGCCUUCCCCAAGCUUCCCACGGCGAACAACUGCCGGCAAGCAUCACGCCGACGAGCUCCGCAUCUCAUGGAUUUUUUGUUGUGUUCUCUCUUAUUUUCUAAAGAAUUUGGGUAUCAUAAAAAAUGCCCGUCAAAUUUAGAUUGGACCAAAUGAAAUAGUUAGGGGAGUGAAGUGAGCCUAAAUUUUGGUCAGGGGUUAAACGAACAAAGCUAACAAGUGAGAGGAGUAAAAUGAACUUUUUCCUAUUUUCUAAAUGAAAAGUUAAAGUUCCACGGUCCCACAUGCUGGAAAUGAGAGGGGUUCCUUAGUCCACUUAUACUAUUACUACUUCGUGUCUAAAGCACGUCUAUUAACUUAUCACUACUGGGAAAACUGAUUAUUUGUCCCGAGUCUAAGUACCGGUUGCAUUUUGACCCGGUACUAAUGUGAGCAUUAUUACCGGGCCAACGGAUAGUUCACAAGGAGCCGCCCGUGAAGCCCUUUAGCAACCGGUACUAAAGGGUCCACAUUAGUACCGGUUGGUGCCCCGCAACCCGAUACUAAUGUGCCACCCCACUUUAAUACCGGGUGGGGGCACCAACCGAUACUAAUAUGGGUGC